RNAcentral lists this ribosomal RNA (114 nucleotides) under Danio rerio (zebrafish). The record is from RNAcentral. Lineage: Eukaryota; Metazoa; Chordata; Actinopteri; Cypriniformes; Danionidae.
GCUGGCAGCUAGCUCUCUGCAACUCUUACAUGAAGCCAACUGAAGCUAAGCAGGGCUGCGCCUGGUCAGUACCUGGAUGGGAGACCACAUGGGAAAGAUUGGUUGCUGCCGGAA